This 495-nucleotide ribosomal RNA is filed under the name uncultured bacterium. Its description in RNAcentral is "partial 16S ribosomal RNA". It matches the Rfam family "Bacterial small subunit ribosomal RNA", at positions 28 to 507 of the family's 1533-position model. The record is from RNAcentral.
GAUGAACGCUGGCGGCGUGCCUAAUACAUGCAAGUCGAGCGAACAGACGAGGAGCUUGCUCCUCUGACGUUAGCGGCGGACGGGUGAGUAACACGUGGAUAACCUACCUAUAAGACUGGGAUAACUUCGGGAAACCGGAGCUAAUACCGGAUAAUAUAUUGAACCGCAUGGUUCAAUAGUGAAAGACGGUUUUGCUGUCACUUAUAGAUGGAUCCGCGCCGCAUUAGCUAGUUGGUAAGGUAACGGCUUACCAAGGCAACGAUGCGUAGCCGACCUGAGAGGGAUAUCGCACACACUGGAAGAGAGACACGGUACAGACUCCUACGAGGGGCAGGAGUAGAGUAUCUCGCGCAGUGGGAGAAAGCGACACGGAACAACGCCGCGUGAGUGGAGGAGGUCUUGGGCUCGUAAAACUCUGUUAAUGGGGGAAAAAAAAUGUGUAAGUAACUAUGCACGUCGACGGUAUCCCAACACAGAGACACGGCUAUAUAUGCG